UACAAUGGCGCAUACAAAGAGAAGCGACCUCGCGAGAGCAAGCAGACCUCAUAAAGUGCGUCGUAGUCCGGAUUGGAGUCUGCAACUCGACUCCAUGAAGUCGGAAUCGCUAGUAAUCGUGGAUCAGAAUGCCACGGUGAAUACGUUCCCGGGCCUUGUACACACCGCCCGUCACACCAUGGGAGUGGGUUGCAAAAGAAGUAGGUAGCUUAACCUUCGGGAGGGCGCUUACCACUUUGUGAUUCAUGACUGGGGUGAAGUCGUAACAAGGUAACCGUAGGGGAACCUGCGGUUGGAUCACCUCCUUACCUUAAAGAAGC
RNAcentral lists this ribosomal RNA (320 nucleotides) under Escherichia coli. RNAcentral describes it as "partial 16S ribosomal RNA". It matches the Rfam family "Bacterial small subunit ribosomal RNA", at positions 1226 to 1533 of the family's 1533-position model. Lineage: Bacteria; Pseudomonadati; Pseudomonadota; Gammaproteobacteria; Enterobacterales; Enterobacteriaceae. The record is from RNAcentral.